UGUGGUUUCUGCAUGGUGCCCUGCAGAGACACUGAUCUUCCUGCUGGGAACAUGGGCCCUGCUCUCCUCUGGUCUCAGCUUUGCUGACGUGGCCCAAGGGCGCAGCUGACAGCAGCAAGAGUCAACCCCAAGGCUGCUGUGCUGGGAGGUGCAAAGGAAGUUGUUCAUUAGAACACAAAACCAGUUAAACUGAGAACCUGAACAGCCCUGCACAGGACAGAGCGGGGUGUCCUGCUGCUGUCCCGUCAUGCUGACUCCAGCAGCAUGGUCGGGAUCUGGAGAGCAGACUGUGACCCCCACCAUGGCUCCCACUUCACAAUGAACCACAGCUUCUGCAAGACAUGAGAUGUCCCCACCUCAAAAUCGAUAGAAGGCAAAAGUCCUGCUCCACACGGGAGGCAGGUUCAGAGACCUUAAGUGGUUGGAAGCCCCCAGGGCCCAGAGCCAGUGCCCAGCACUGGAUGAGGUGGAUUUCUCCUAAAUCACAUUAAGUCAUCCACAG
Molecule: long non-coding RNA, 502 nt
Filed under: Cyanistes caeruleus (blue tit)
Lineage: Eukaryota; Metazoa; Chordata; Aves; Passeriformes; Paridae
Description: lncRNA (ENSCCEG00000004005.1)
Source: RNAcentral